AUCUGAAAGACUCUCGGCAACGGAUAUCUCGGCUCUUGCAUCGAUGAAGAACGUAGCGAAAUGCGAUACUUGGUGUGAAUUGCAGAAUCCCGUGAACCAUCGAGUCUUUGAACGCAAGUUGCGCCCGAAGCCAUUAGGCUGAGGGCACGUCUGCCUGGGUGUCGCCC
Molecule: ribosomal RNA, 167 nt
Filed under: Aspalathus cordata
Lineage: Eukaryota; Viridiplantae; Streptophyta; Magnoliopsida; Fabales; Fabaceae
Description: 5.8S ribosomal RNA
Rfam family: 5.8S ribosomal RNA
About the family: 5.8S ribosomal RNA (5.8S rRNA) is a component of the large subunit of the eukaryotic ribosome. It is transcribed by RNA polymerase I as part of the 45S precursor that also contains 18S and 28S rRNA.
Source: RNAcentral